This 305-nucleotide ribosomal RNA is filed under the name uncultured bacterium. RNAcentral describes it as "partial 16S ribosomal RNA". It matches the Rfam family "Bacterial small subunit ribosomal RNA", at positions 505 to 807 of the family's 1533-position model. The record is from RNAcentral.
ACAGCAGCAGCCGCGGGAAUACGUAGGGCGCAAGCGUUAUCCGGAAUUAUUGGGCGUAAAGAGCUCGUAGGCGGUUUGUCGCGUCUGCCGUGAAAGUCCGGGGCUCAACCCCGGAUCUGCGGUGGGUACGGGCAGACUAGAGUGAUGUAGGGGAGACUGGAAUUCCUGGUGUAGCGGUGAAAUGCGCAGAUAUCAGGAGGAACACCGAUGGCGAAGGCAGGUCUCUGGGCAUUAACUGACGCUGAGGAGCGAAAGCAUGGGGAGCGAACAGGAUUAGAUACCCCUGUAGUCCCUGUCUCUUAUAC